Molecule: long non-coding RNA, 626 nt
Organism: Jaculus jaculus (lesser Egyptian jerboa)
Lineage: Eukaryota; Metazoa; Chordata; Mammalia; Rodentia; Dipodidae
Exons: 3
Source: RefSeq, a predicted model, not a curated record
AGAGUCUUUUCCACUCCUGAAGAUGGAGCCCAAAUAGCCUCACAUAUGUCAAGAGACUGUUGAAAAGCAAGUGAAUCCUGUCUGUGUGAUGAGUGCAUCCAUCUGAGCUGUAGUGUUGCUGUGACUUAAGAUUCUGUUUGUUUGUUUUCAAGGUAGAGUCUCACUCUAGCCUAGAAUGAUCUGGAACUUACUCUGGAGUUCCAGACUGGCCUUGAACUCAUGGUGAGCCGCCUACCACUUCCUCCUGAGCUCUAGGAUUAAAGUGGCUGUUUUUUAUCCAUAGGGAAUAUGUUCCAGGCUCCAGUGGGUUCCUGAAAUCCAGAGAAUGCCUGUUGAUCUCCACUCCAGCACUUCAGGCUGAGGCUCAAGGACUGUUUGAUGUUUUCUCAGCCUCUUUAUAGCCUCACCCUUAACCUCAGCCUCUCCUUUCACUGACCUACUUAUCGUUCUGCAUGUUCCUGGCCGAUGGUCUUUGUGCAGUUCUUUGUCCCUGGAAUGUCCCUCCCGUCUCUCCAUAGGAAAGCCUGCCCUUUCUAUGAAGUCCUCCAAGUUUCCUGCUGACGUAUUAUGUAAUCUCCUCAUGUGUUCUCCUGUUGCACAAUGUACCUCACAUUCCCAGCGAACUA